RNAcentral lists this ribosomal RNA (253 nucleotides) under uncultured bacterium. RNAcentral's name for it is "partial 16S ribosomal RNA". It matches the Rfam family "Bacterial small subunit ribosomal RNA", at positions 524 to 776 of the family's 1533-position model. The record is from RNAcentral.
UACGUAGGGGGCAAGCGUUGUCCGGAUUUAUUGGGCGUAAAGAGCGUGUAGGCGGCCUGGAAGGUCAGCUGUGAAAACUCGAGGCUCAACCUCGAGACGUCGGUUGAAACCACCUGGCUAGAGUCCGGAAGAGGAGAGUGGAAUUCCUGGUGUAGCGGUGAAAUGCGCAGAUAUCAGGAGGAACACCUAUUGCGAAGGCAGCUCGCUGGGACGUAACUGACGCUGAGACGCGAAAGCGUGGGGAGCAAACAGG